This 316-nucleotide long non-coding RNA is filed under the name Bos taurus (domestic cattle). Its description in RNAcentral is "long non-coding RNA NONBTAT022287". The record is from RNAcentral. Lineage: Eukaryota; Metazoa; Chordata; Mammalia; Artiodactyla; Bovidae.
AAAUUUACAAGCUUCCAAAAGUAAACAAAGAAAAUGGCAGUGAAUAGGAUCAUCUUAAUUUUGACCCACCUAAGCACAGGGAAAUCUACAGUGGAAAACAUAUCUGACUGAAAGAGAUUGUUUUCCUGGAAACUCUCCUUAAAGCCUUGACAUCCGCAACUGACCAAAGAUAUUCAGAAGCCUAAAAACAAAACCUGGGGUAUGUGUGUGAGGGUGCGAGGAGGAGGUUCGAUGCACCUCAGAAAUUCUCUCAUUAUUCUCUUUUAGUGCUGACUGUCAGAACUGGUACUACUCACACUUAAGUGCACUGAAAGCC